This is a long non-coding RNA of Manis javanica (Malayan pangolin), 7077 nucleotides long. RefSeq lists it as uncharacterized. The record is from RefSeq and is a predicted model, not a curated record. Lineage: Eukaryota; Metazoa; Chordata; Mammalia; Pholidota; Manidae.
UAGCGAUUAGCGGUCGCGCCUUGCAAACCUGAGUGUAAUGAGACUAAGUCCUCACCCCAGCUCUGCACUUCCUGACUUAUCUGAUUUAAAUCAGAACAUCUGAACAUUGGACCCAGGAUAUAGCCAAGUGGAUUCCAAGGAUUUUCUCCACAGGCUGCAAAUGGAGGGGAAGGGAGAAGCAGGCUUAGCUUUGAAGGCAUCUUAGAAGAAGAUGUAUUUCAAUCCAUCUCGAAGGAGAGCGGAUCUUAUCUACGUGACAUUUGGACUGGCAGGAGGCAGUUUAUUUAACUCCUGAUGACAUCCAGACUUGACUAUUGGCAAAGAGCUCCUAUGAAUCCUCUGACUAGUAGGCAAACACACACCAACCAACUCAUCUCAGGAAGGAGGGAUGCACAGAUAUUUCAUCUCUCAUGUGACCACUGAUGGAUUGGUAGGGGUUGCUUAGAGCUCAGAGUUGAAUGGCAUUUUAGGGUUAUGUCUGGGCUCAGCAACAAAGAUGUAAUAGAUUAUUGAUAUCUGCUCUGGAUGUGCAUGUUUGUGUGCAUGACUGUUUAGGUGUCAGCGGGGACAGUGGCACGCAUACUAGGUUUUGCUAUUCCUGGGGUGGACUAUGUAAAGAAUCCUUUCAUUUCCUGAGAUCCUGGACACUAAAGCGUUAUUUUUUACCUCUAUUUUGUGUUGUAAUUGAUAAUAAGCUAGCUUUCUUUUGCCCAACAUUAGUGUAGCAACUGUUGCUACACGGUUGGUCUCAUCUUCCUUGAAUUUAUCUGUUUAGAGGAUAGUCAGGUCCUGUCCCAGUCUUUGUAGGGAAGGGAGUUCAUCUCUUGCUUAAUGUAAGCCAUUGUUGGGAAACUAUUCCCCAGGCAGUGUUGAUGCUCUAGGAAUGGGUAUAUGAAGCAAUUUUGGUCAAGAAAGUCUCUUUUCUAAGUCACAACUUGUUCAGUCUAUGAUUCACAAGAAGGCAUUCUUUUUCUGGUCUUUGUUUUGUGCGAAAGUGAUGAUUAGAGCUGUUCUCUUCCUCUGAAAGAAAAUGGUGCUUGGAUAUGGUGCUUGGAACUUCUCUAGCUGCCCUUUAACCACAAAGCAAGAAGCCUUGGUACAAAUGACAAGCCUCAACUGCUGGAAUGCUGAUUUUGUUGAACAAUAAGAUCAACUGUCUCUAGAAAUAAUGUACCCUUAUUGUUUGAAAUCUUAUGCCUCUUGAAUUUUCAUAGAGCAAUAAUUGGGAAGAAUUUAAUAUGGAAACACAUUAUAUGUUUGUAACAUCUGAAGCUUAAAUGAUAUGAUGAAAAAAUAUACAAAAGAUGGUUUUACCAUAACUCUUUUAAACAAUAUUUUGAAGUGUAUAUGAUGGUCAAUAAGAUGAAUAUAUUAAGUGUAACAAUUUGAUCAGUUUUGAUAUAUCUAUAUCCAUGGAAAUAUUGUUUCCAUUGUAAAGUCUUUCAAGUGUAAUUGUUAUGGUAGUGUAUUAAAUUUUAGUUUCUGUUUACUUAUUGCUAAUAUAUUUCCAGAUGUGAAUUUUGUGUAUUCAUCCUAUAUCCUUCAAUCUUUAUAAACUCAGUUAUUAAAUCUUGUGUCUUUUUCUAUAUUAUAUAAGAUUUCUGUAUAGACAACUAUGUUAUCUGUGAAUAAAUUCAGUUUUAUUUUUUCCUUCCUAACUUGGAUGACUUUUAUUUAUUUUUCUUGCCUUAUUCAAUAGGCUGGAUCACCCAUAUAUGUUGAAUAAAGAUUGUGAAAGUAGACAUUUUUAUCUUACUCCUACUCUUAGAGGAAAAAUACUCUAUUAAAUGUGAUAUUAGCUGCAAGUUUUUGUGCAUGCGCAUUACCAGGUUAAGGAAGUUUCCUUUUAUUCCUUAUUUGAUGAAAUUUUUUGAUCAGAAAUGCAUUUUGCUAAAUGCUUAUAUUUAUAUGCAAUGAAAUGAUCAUUUAGUUUAUUAAUUUUGGUUUGUUAAUAUAGUGGAUUACAUUGAUUGCUCUUUGAUUGCAAAAACUUACAACCUUGUUGUCUUAUUAUAAAUCUCACUUGGUCAUAAUAUACUAUCAUGUAUAUACAUUAUUGUGUUCAAUAUGCUAAAAUAUUAUCUAGAAUUUUUGUGUCUUUACUCAAUUAGUCAGAAUUUGAUUUGUAGGUAAUGAUGGCCUCAUAAAACACAUUGGAAAGUAUUAUCUCCUCUUAAUUUUUCUGGAAGAGUUUGUGAAUAAUUGCUGUUUCUCUUCCUUAAAUGUUUGGUAAUAUUCACCUAUGAAAUAUGCAUCUAAGCCUGCAGUUUUCUUGUCAGAAAAGUCUUAUCCAUAAACUACAUUUUUUCAACAAGUAUAGAGCAAUUUGGGUUACUUAUUUCUUCUUAAAUGAACUUCGGUAAUUUGUGUGAUUCAAGGAAUUGACAAAUUCCAUUUAAAUUGCUGAAUUUUUGGGCAUACGUUGCUCAUAAUAUUUUCAUACUCUGUAAUAUCUGAGAAAUCUGAAGUUAUGCCACCUCUCACAUUCCUCAUAUUGAAAAUUUAUGUCUUCUCUCUUUUCCUUUAUUGAUAAAGCUAGCUAGGAGUUUGUCAAUUUUACAGAUGUCUUCAAAGAACCAGGUUUGGUUUCAUUGAUUUUUUUCUAUUAUUUGUUUCUAUUUCAUUGAUCUCCACUUUGAUCUUUAUUGUUUUCCUUCUUCUUCCUACUUUUGUUUUCAUUUGGUCUUAUUUUCCUACUUUUUCAUAAGGUGGACGCUGAGGUCAAUAAUCUGAUACCUAUCUUUUUCUAUGUAAGGUGUUAAUUGCUAUAAAUUUUCCUGUAAUUUCUGCUUUAGAAGAAUCCAACAGAUUUUUAUAUGUUGUGUUUUUGUUUCAAUCCAGUUCAGAAUACUUCUUACUUUUCCUUUUAAUGGAUUAUUUUUAUGUAUGCUGUUAUGUUUACAAAUCUUUGGGGAUCAUCCAAAUAUCUUUUUGUUAGUGAUUUCUAUUUCCUUUGUGGUCAGAGAAUAUACUUUGUAUGAUUUGAUAAUUAAAAUUUUAUCCAUGCUUGUUUUAUGACCCAGAAUAUAGUCGAUCUUGGUAAAUAUUCUAUGUGUACUUACAAUGAAUGUCUAUUCUACUGUUAUUGGAUAGAGUUUUUAAAAGUGUAAAUUAGACACUGUUGUCAAUUGAGUGUCAUUCCUCUUCUAUAUCCUUAUUGAUUUUCUGUCUAAUUGUUUCAUCACUUAUUAAUGAAGUUUGAAUACAUCUCCAACUAUAAUUGGGGCUUUGAAUAUUUCUUCUUCAAUUGUAUCAGUUUUUAAUUUUUGUAUUUUGAAAUUCUGACAUUGGCUACAUCAUCAACAUUAAGAUUGUUAUGUACUUAUGAUGCAUCAACCCAUUUAUCAUCAGAAAUUGUCUCUCUCUACUUGUAGCAAUAUUUUUUCUAAGAAAUCUGUCUUAUCUAUACGAAAAUAGCCACUCCAGAUUUCUUUUGAUGGUUGUUUCACAGAGUAGAUCUUUUCUCAUUCUUUUUCUUUUAGUUCAUUUGUGUCUUCUUAGUUUAAGUUCAUUUCCUGUUGGCCCUUUCUAUUUUAUCCAAAAUGAUAAUUUCUAGGUUUGCAUCAGCUUUUAGAUUAUUUACAUUGAACAAUUAUGAUAUGAUUAGAUUUACAUAAACUAUAUUUCCAUAUUUUAUUUUUACAUGUUGCAUGUUUACUCUCUUUUGUCUGUUUUGUCUGCAUUCUUUGGGCUUAAAUAUUUUAAUGAUUUCCUUUUAUCUCAUCAUCACUUUAUUAGCUAACACUCUUUGUUUAUGGCUGCUUUAGGGUUUAUAGCAAGUUUUUUAGACUUAUCAUAGUCUACCUCCAAAUAAUAUCAUAUGUUAAUACACAUCCCAAGAACCUUACUAUGUUAUACUCCCAUUUCCCUCUUUCCUUUCUGUUAUUGUUGUAUAUUUGACAUCUACAUAUGUUACAACUCACCCCCACCCCAGCAUUAUUUUAUAAGCAGUUAUUAAGAUUAGAUAAUACAAUCAAGCUUCUUAUUUAUAUAAAAGAGAAAACAAGCAUUUUCUAUGUCCUUGAGUAGUUUCUAUUUUUGGUACUUUUCACUAGCAUGUGUAAGUCCAUAUUUCUCUCUGUAUCAUUUUCUUCCUGUUUGAACAACUUCUUUUAACAUUUAACAUAGCACAAAUCUACUGUGGCUGAGUUUCUCAGCUUUUGCAUGUCUGAAAAAAUCUUUUAUUUUGCCUUCCUUUAUGGAGACGACUUUUUCCUGGGUAUAUGACUCUAGGUUGACUUUUUUCCCCCCUUUCAAUACUUAAAAAUAUAUCUUCACUAUGUUCUAUGUUCUGGCUUGAAUUGUUUCUGACAAAUCUGUGCCACUUAUAUCUUUGUUUCUCUUGUGUGUCUUUUAUCAUCUGGCUGCUUUGAAGAUUUUCCCUUUGUUACUUCCUAAAAGAAAUUUGAUUGUAAUAUAUUUUGUUAUAGUUUUUGUUAUAUGUCUGUGCCUGGAAUUUUUUGAACUUGGAUCCAUGGGUUUAUAGGUUUUACCAAAUUUUGAAAAACUUCAGCCAUUAUUUUUUCAAAUAAUUUUUCCUGUCUUACCUUUCUUCCAUCCUCUCCUGGAUUGCAACUACAUGUAUACUAAAUCUAAAUUUUUUAAAGUUGUUCUAUACCUCACUGAAGUUCUGUUUACUACAUUCAGUCCUUUUAUUUUUGUGUUUUAUCUUGGAUUAUUUUAUGAUUUCAAGUUCACUGAUCUUUUCUCUUUCAGUAUCUAAACUACUAAUCCAAUCCAUUGUAUUUAUCAUCUUCACAGUGUACUUUUCAUUGCUAGAAGUGCAAAAUCUUCAUUUUUCCUGUUUAUAUUUCUAUGUCUCUUUUUAGUAUAAUAACCAAUCUUUUCUUUUAAAUUUUAAUGUGUCCUUGACUUCUGAUUUAUAAUCUCUGUCAUUUCUGGGUCUAUUUCUAUUCAUUUAUUUUUCUGCUUAUUUGGGUGUAUUUUUCCUGCUUCUUUGUAUUCUUGCUAAUGUUUUAUUGAAUGCCAGAGUCUGUGAUAUUUUCUUUAUUCAAUUAAGAUAUUUUUGUAUUCCUAUAAAUAACUUUGAGAUUUAUAGGGUAAACAACUUACUCAAUUUACCUAGGGCUGUCCCAGUUGUAAAAUUAAACAUUCUAUAUUCCAACAGCUUUCCGAUCCAAGGCAAAUUGGGAUGGUUGGUUACCCUUAUCACUUGGAAAAAGUUUUAUGACUUUUUAAAGAUUUAUUAGGUGGGCCUGGAGUACCAUUAUUUUAGGGCUAAGUUACCCCACUACUGAGGCAGUACCCUUCUGAGUUGCCUGCUCAUUGCCUUUGAAUUAUGAGGUUUUCAAUACUACAAUGAGUAAAAAUUAUGUAAACUACAGGGCCUUGUUCCUUUUUGCUGAUUUCAGGCUGUUCUUUUCCUGAUCUUUGUUUUUUCCCACACACCUGUGCUCAGAUGUACUUAGCUGAAGACUCAAGGGUGACCCUUUGCUAAUCUCUGGGACCCUUGCUCUGCUCUGAGCUCUCUCUUCUGGCACUGUGUCCUGUGAAGUCUAGCUGUCUUGGUCUCCCUAGAUUUCUAGUGCUGUCUGCCCAUCCCAGGCUGCCCAGUAGGAUCUAACUAGGUUCCUGUUCUCUGCAUUGCAGCCUGGAAGGUCUCGUAGUGCUCACUUCAUUUGUUUCUCUCUCAUCGAUCACUGCCUAGCAGGGUGUUUUGAGAAGAAAACUGAUGUUAGUGUCAGAAUUACUUCAUUCCUAAUCUCCCCUUCACUUCAUGUGACCGUGGAUCCUUAAUUAAAUCAUUAAUGACCCCAAGCCUCUGAUUCCACUUCUGUGGGAUGAAAAUAAUAAAACCUGAGGAAAAUAGCGUCUAUUUUAAUUAUUUGUGAAGUGUAAAGUUUUAGGCAAAGAUAGAUUGGCUUAAUGAUUAUUUAGAGUUUUUCCAUAAAAAUAAGAUUACAGAAGGCUUUUAUUCCCAUGUGAAAGGUUAGACAGUGCAAUCAGACAUAUUGGUAUACAGUUUCCACUCCACCAGUUAAAAAAUAUUUUUAUUGUCAAAGAUUUCACUUGACCACCAAAGUUGGCUUAAAAGUUGGUACAUCUAGGAGUUAAAAUGAUUUUCAUGAUCAUAUAGUUGACAUUUGGUAGAAACAGUAUUCUCCACUGUAAUAUACAACCUUAUUUAAUACUUUAUAGCGAUGACAGAACAAAAUCUGAAAGAAGAAAAUUUGGGCAUUUAAUGACUGUUCUUUUCCACGUAUAUCCAUAGAGAUGAUUCUGUAAAUACAUGGAGAAUAAAGAAAUCCAAGGGACCAUGGUUAUUCUGUUGUAGCGUCUAAAUCUGUAAAUCACCCAGCUAUGCAAGUAAAACUUAGUAUAUUUAAUGUUUAGUGAUUCUUGGAGUGAUUUCAUUUUCUCAAGUGGCCAUUUUUGGUAGACAUUGUAGAUUGCUUAUUCAGUAGCAAUCUCAAGGAAUCCAUCCCUCUUGACAACUGAGAUUUGCUUUUGUUUAGAUAUCUACCCAUCUUUCCUAAUCUCAACUCAGUGGUAAAUCCUGAUUAGAGUAAAUCAAUAGUGACAAUAUAUUUAUAAAAUCAAUCCCUGUUGAGGCAGAUAGUUGUAAAUCAGUUUCUUCCACCAUUCCGGUAAGUAUCCAUUGUAUGCAAUAUUACAGUGCAUCAAUCUAUUUUCUUUUAGUGGUUAUUAUUAUUUUAAUGGUUAUAUGUUAAUAGUUAUUUUUUGCUAUUAUAAUACUAAUACCAUGAACAAUCUUAAACAUGCCCACUGGAAUUGUGAAUUUUAUUUUUUUCUUUCCUCAAAUCAAUAAUUUUUUGCUUGUUUAUCCUCUCUGCUAUGUUUAAUUUUCCUCUUUUGAUUAUUUUCCUAUCUCCAUUAUCUUUUUUUAAAUGAGAAUUUGUCCUAUUUGACUAAUAUUUGGUUUGUUCUAAAUGUUUAUAUUUAAAUAUUUUCUUCUUAAUACAAAUAAGACUUUCAUGAACAUUUGACAGUUUCAGCCCUUAACUGGCCCUUGAAAAUGUUGUUUCCUUUCUUAUUUUUUAAAUGAGGCAUAAUUGACAUGUAACAUUAUAUUAGUUUCAAGUGUAUAACAUGAUU